CCUACGGGAGGCAGCAGUGGGGAAUAUUGCACAAUGGGGGAAACCCUGAUGCAGCGACGCCGCGUGAAGGAAGAAGGUCUUCGGAUUGUAAACUCCUGUUGUUGAGGAAGAACGGUAAUGGGAGUGGAAAGUCCAUUACGUGACGGUACUUAACCAGAAAGGGACGGCUAACUACGUGCCAGCAGCCGCGGUAAUACGUAGGUCCC
Molecule: ribosomal RNA, 206 nt
Filed under: uncultured bacterium
Lineage: Bacteria
Description: partial 16S ribosomal RNA
Rfam family: Bacterial small subunit ribosomal RNA
Source: RNAcentral